RNAcentral lists this transfer RNA (71 nucleotides) under Caudoviricetes sp. Its description in RNAcentral is "tRNA-OTHER". It matches the Rfam family "tRNA". Rfam says of the family: Transfer RNA (tRNA) molecules are approximately 80 nucleotides in length. Their secondary structure includes four short double-helical elements and three loops (D, anti-codon, and T loops). Further hydrogen bonds mediate the characteristic L-shaped molecular structure. tRNAs have two regions of fundamental functional importance: the anti-codon, which is responsible for specific mRNA codon recognition, and the 3' end, to which the tRNAs corresponding amino acid is attached (by aminoacyl-tRNA synthetases). tRNAs cope with the degeneracy of the genetic code in two manners: having more than one tRNA (with a specific anti-codon) for a particular amino acid; and 'wobble' base-pairing, i.e. permitting non-standard base-pairing at the 3rd anti-codon position. Lineage: Duplodnaviria; Heunggongvirae; Uroviricota; Caudoviricetes. The record is from RNAcentral.
CGGAACAUAGCUCAGUCGGCAGAGCAGGGAACAGCUUUCCUGUGUCACCAGUUCGAUUCUGGUUGUUCCGC